GUCAGGAUGGCCGAGUGGUCUAAGGCGCCAGACUCAAGGAUGCAGUCCUUUCUCACUCAUGGGAUUUCUGGUCUCCAAAUGGAGGCGUGGGUUCAAAUCCCGCUCCUGACA
This 111-nucleotide transfer RNA is filed under the name Oreochromis niloticus (Nile tilapia). It matches the Rfam family "tRNA". Rfam says of the family: Transfer RNA (tRNA) molecules are approximately 80 nucleotides in length. Their secondary structure includes four short double-helical elements and three loops (D, anti-codon, and T loops). RNAcentral also lists the same sequence under 1 other name. The record is from Rfam by way of RNAcentral. Lineage: Eukaryota; Metazoa; Chordata; Actinopteri; Cichliformes; Cichlidae.